GCGCACGGGUGAGUUAACACGUAUCCAACCUUGCCGUCUACUCUUCGGCCAGCCUUCUGAAAGGAAGAUUAAUCCAGGAUGGCAUCAUGAGUUCACAUGUCCGCAUGAUUAAAGGUAUUUUCCGGUAGACGAUGGGGAUGCGUUCCAUUAGAUAGUAGGCGGGGUAACGGCCCACCUAGUCAACGAUGGAUAGGGGUUCUGAGAGGAAGGUCCCCCACAUUGGAACUGAGACACGGUCCAAACUCAUACGGGAGGCAGCAGUGAGGAAUAUUGGUCAAUGGGCGAUGGCCUGAACCAGCCAAGUAGCGUGAAGGAUGACUGCCCUAUGGGUUGUAAACUUCUUUUAUAAAGGAAUAAAGUCGGGUAUGCAUACCCGUUUGCAUGUACUUUAUGAAUAAGGAUCGGCUAACUCCGUGCCAGCAGCCGCGGUAAUACGGAGGAUCCGAGCGUUAUCCGGAUUUAUUGGGUUUAAAGGGAGCGUAGAUGGAUGUUUAAGUCAGUUGUGAAAGUUUGCGGCUCAACCGUAAAAUUGCAGUUGAUACUGGAUGUCUUGAGUGCAGUUGAGGCAGGCGGAAUUCGUGGUGUAGCGGUGAAAUGCUU
This 600-nucleotide ribosomal RNA is filed under the name Phocaeicola dorei. RNAcentral's name for it is "bacterial SSU rRNA". It matches the Rfam family "Bacterial small subunit ribosomal RNA", at positions 98 to 691 of the family's 1533-position model. The record is from RNAcentral. Lineage: Bacteria; Pseudomonadati; Bacteroidota; Bacteroidia; Bacteroidales; Bacteroidaceae.